RNAcentral lists this ribosomal RNA (820 nucleotides) under Salmonella enterica subsp. enterica serovar Newport. RNAcentral describes it as "partial 23S ribosomal RNA". It matches the Rfam family "Bacterial large subunit ribosomal RNA", at positions 670 to 1405 of the family's 2925-position model. The record is from RNAcentral. Lineage: Bacteria; Pseudomonadati; Pseudomonadota; Gammaproteobacteria; Enterobacterales; Enterobacteriaceae.
AGGGAAACCGAGUCUUAACCGGGCGUUAAGUUGCAGGGUAUAGACCCGAAACCCGGUGAUCUAGCCAUGGGCAGGUUGAAGGUUGGGUAACACUAACUGGAGGACCGAACCGACUAAUGUUGAAAAAUUAGCGGAUGACCUGUGGCUGGGGGUGAAAGGCCAAUCAAACCGGGAGAUAGCUGGUUCUCCCCGAAAGCUAUUUAGGUAGCGCCUCGUGAAUUCAUCUCCGGGGGUAGAGCACUGUUUCGGCUAGGGGGCCAUCCCGGCUUACCAACCCGAUGCAAACUGCGAAUACCGGAGAAUGUUAUCACGGGAGACACACGGCGGGUGCUAACGUCCGUCGUGAAGAGGGAAACAACCCAGACCGCCAGCUAAGGUCCCAAAGUCAUGGUUAAGUGGGAAACGAUGUGGGAAGGCCCAGACAGCCAGGAUGUUGGCUUAGAAGCAGCCAUCAUUUAAAGAAAGCGUAAUAGCUCACUGGUCGAGUCGGCCUGCGCGGAAGAUGUAACGGGGCUAAACCAUGCACCGAAGCUGCGGCAGCGAACGUAUCACUUAAAGCGAUUCAGCGGGUUACGAUUGACGGAGCGAAGCGACGUCAAAGCGUAUACAAAGUCGAGUCGGUUUAAGGAUACGUUCGUUGGGUAGGGGAGCGUUCUGUAAGCCUGUGAAGGUGGCCUGUGAGGGUUGCUGGAGGUAUCAGAAGUGCGAAUGCUGACAUAAGUAACGAUAAAGCGGGUGAAAAGCCCGCUCGCCGGAAGACCAAGGGUUCCUGUCCAACGUUAAUCGGGGCAGGGUGAGUCGACCCCUAAGGCGAGGCCGA